RNAcentral lists this ribosomal RNA (292 nucleotides) under uncultured bacterium. RNAcentral's name for it is "partial 16S ribosomal RNA". It matches the Rfam family "Bacterial small subunit ribosomal RNA", at positions 505 to 796 of the family's 1533-position model. The record is from RNAcentral.
GUGCCAGCAGCCGCGGUAAUACAGAGGUCCCAAGCGUUGUUCGGAUUCACUGGGCGUAAAGGGUGCGUAGGUGGCUGGGUAAGUCUGAUGUGAAAUCUCCAAGCUUAACUUGGAAACUGCAUCGGAUACUAUCCGGCUCGAGGAUCGGAGGGGAGACUGGAAUACUUGGUGUAGCAGUGAAAUGCGUAGAUAUCAAGUGGAACACCAGUGGCGAAGGCGAGUCUCUGGACGAUUCCUGACACUGAGGCACGAAAGCCAGGGGAGCAAACGGGAUUAGAAACCCCAGUAGUCC